RNAcentral lists this ribosomal RNA (225 nucleotides) under uncultured Porphyrobacter sp. RNAcentral's name for it is "partial 16S ribosomal RNA". It matches the Rfam family "Bacterial small subunit ribosomal RNA", at positions 568 to 792 of the family's 1533-position model. The record is from RNAcentral. Lineage: Bacteria; Pseudomonadati; Pseudomonadota; Alphaproteobacteria; Sphingomonadales; Erythrobacteraceae.
CACGUAGGCGGCUUUUUAAGUCAGGGGUGAAAUCCCGGGGCUCAACCCCGGAACUGCCCUUGAAACUGGGAAGCUAGAAUCUUGGAGAGGCGAGUGGAAUUCCGAGUGUAGAGGUGAAAUUCGUAGAUAUUCGGAAGAACACCAGUGGCGAAGGCGACUCGCUGGACAAGUAUUGACGCUGAGGUGCGAAAGCGUGGGGAGCAAACAGGAUUAGAUACCCCCGUA